GCGGGAUAGAGCAGUCUGGUAGCUCGUCGGGCUCAUAACCCGGAGGUCGUUGGUUCAAAUC
Molecule: transfer RNA, 61 nt
Filed under: Tenericutes bacterium GWE2_34_108
Lineage: Bacteria; Bacillati; Mycoplasmatota
Description: tRNA-Met
Rfam family: tRNA
About the family: Transfer RNA (tRNA) molecules are approximately 80 nucleotides in length.
Source: RNAcentral